GCUAUGAUGUAAAAAGAAUGGAGACAAUGGUGGAUAUUGGGGGACCCUCUGCUGAUUUUAUGAGUAUGGUUGUCAUGGGGGCUGAUAUGAUGGCACCCACUUGCAUUUUAUAUGCUUCCGGUAUAAAAAAUUUACAAGUACAAAUACAGAUUCGAUCAAUUAGGAGGACCACUCAAGUGGCCCAGAAUAAAUACUGGAAGCAAGUAAUCUAUCAACAGAAUUUGGGCCCUUGUUUCAAACCAGCUGAGAUUGUAACCCAACCCAAGCCAAGCAAAAGCCCAAGACUAUCCCCCCUACCCCAACAUGUAAGAUGUUCCCUGCGUAUUUUUCAGGUUUCAUGUUGAUGAUAUAGUUAAAAGAUACAGGAGAUUGAAGUCGGUGAUCAAAACCCUUCACUCUUUCCAUCAAGCUUCCCUCUUGGAUCUUUCAUCAGUGACCAGCAAUUGACUGUGAAAAAAGAAGUAAAAAAAUGUCACAAACUAAUGAUGUUGAGGGUGUAAAGGAGAAGAAAGUGAUGAAUGAUGGUGAAAAAACUCUGUAACGCAUAUUUUGUAAUGGUUGCUCUUUUGUCUGGUGGAUGUUGUAAAAUUUCAAUAUUAUUAUUGUGCAUACAAAUUGUAGAAAUGUUUUAGGCCCAGUUGGGAGAGACCAAGAUUGUUGUCAGAUAUUCAUGUUAUUCAAAAACAACCAUUAGCAAAAUUAUUCAAGGAAAA
Molecule: long non-coding RNA, 713 nt
Organism: Gossypium arboreum
Lineage: Eukaryota; Viridiplantae; Streptophyta; Magnoliopsida; Malvales; Malvaceae
Exons: 2
Source: RefSeq, a predicted model, not a curated record